Pelobates cultripes (western spadefoot toad) is the source of this 248-nucleotide non-coding RNA. The record is from the annotation of a GenBank genome assembly. Lineage: Eukaryota; Metazoa; Chordata; Amphibia; Anura; Pelobatidae.
CUUUCAGUGACGUAUCAGCCUACCCUAACAUGGAAGAUUCCCAGAACGUCCCUGUGGACUUCCAGGCUAUGAUUAACGCAGCUGUCGCUGCCUCUGUGGAGAAGGCACUCUCCAAGGCCCGAGCUCCGGCUCCUGACGUACCAAAAACCUGCAGACGUACACGCCACGAAUCGGAUUCCGACUUGUCCGACUAUCAGAUAAGGGAUGACUCCCGCCAUAAAAAGCGCCAUGACAAAGGCGAAGAUUAU